UUACACAUGCAAGUCGCACGGGCAUUCUUUGGGAUGUCAGUGGCGGACGGGUGAGUAACGCGUAGGGAUGUGUCCAUGGGUGGGGGAUAACUGCGGGAAACUGCAGCUAACACCGCAUGAUGGUUGAGGCCUAAAGGCGCCGCCGGGAGGUGGAGGUCGCCUGUGGAGCACCCUGCGUCCGAUUAGCUAGUUGGUUGGGUGAUGGCUGACCAAGGCGACGAUCGGUAGCUGGUCUGAGAGGAUGAUCAGCCACACUGGGACUGAGACACGGCCCAGACUCCUACGGGAGGCAGCAGUGGGGAAUAUUGGACAAUGGGCGCAAGCCUGAUCCAGCAAUGCCGCGUGUGUGAAGAAGGUCUUAGGAUUGUAAAGCACUUUCGGCGGGGACGAUGAUGACGGUACCCGCAGAAGAAGCCCCGGCUAACUUCGUGCCAGCAGCCGCGGUAAUACGAAGGGGGCUAGCGUUGCUCGGAAUGACUGGGCGUAAAGGGCGCGUAGCGGAUUGCAUAGUCAGGCGUGAAAUUCCUGGGCUCAACCUGGGGACUGCGUUUGAUACGUGUGGUCUAAGUUUGGAAGAGGGUCGUGGAAUUCCCA
Molecule: ribosomal RNA, 594 nt
Filed under: uncultured bacterium
Lineage: Bacteria
Description: bacterial SSU rRNA
Rfam family: Bacterial small subunit ribosomal RNA
Source: RNAcentral